RNAcentral lists this ribosomal RNA (306 nucleotides) under uncultured bacterium. Its description in RNAcentral is "partial 16S ribosomal RNA". It matches the Rfam family "Bacterial small subunit ribosomal RNA", at positions 505 to 809 of the family's 1533-position model. The record is from RNAcentral.
GACAGCAGCAGCCGCGGUAAUACAGAGGGUGCGAGCGUUAAUCGGAUUUACUGGGCGUAAAGCGUGCGUAGGCGGCUUUUUAAGUCGGAUGUGAAAUCCCUGAGCUUAACUUAGGAAUUGCAUUCGAUACUGGGAAGCUAGAGUAUGGGAGAGGAUGGUAGAAUUCCAGGUGUAGCGGUGAAAUGCGUAGAGAUCUGGAGGAAUACCGAUGGCGAAGGCAGCCAUCUGGCCUAAUACUGACGCUGAGGUACGAAAGCAUGGGGAGCAAACAGGAUUAGAUACCCCGGUAGUCCCUGUCUCUUAUAU